UAUGUACAACACAACUUUAUUCACUGGAGUAGUGUGACAGAAGCAAACUUUUACAGGGAACUUAAAUGUGGUCAAUGUCAUCCAGAUCCAAAUCUAGCCUAGUUGCUUCAUUGUAAUUGAGAUCAGACCCCAGUGCCACCAGCAAAAGCUGCAAGCACUUCUGUGAAUGCUGUGACUUUAUCCCCACAUUCACUGACAGUGCUGUAGCAAUACAUUUUGGCACCUGGGAUGGCUCCUUCCCGGAUUACUUCUGGCUGCUGUGACAGAGGACCUUGUCACCAUGGGCCAUCAGCCACUGGAAUGAAUGCCAAUGCAAGAGGUAAAAUCCAAGCCUGUCCUGCUGGGACUCUGCCAGGGACGUGCUGCAUGGGAUCCAGACAGUGAGCAAAGCCAUCAGAAGGCAAAAGGUGUCGGCAGCAUGCCAGGUAAAAGGAAAAGUGACCCAACUGGGAAUAAACUCUAAGUUUGGCGGAGGGGAGGUGCAUCUAAUUCUGUCCAGGAUUCAUACACAGAGAGCCAGAAAAAAAAAUAGCACUGGGGGAGUUAUUUUCUCAUGCUAUCUCCAGCCAAAAGCAAGUUGUUACCAGAAGUCUUCUGAGACAUAUUGAGUCAGGAACAAAAAAUUAAAUAAAUAAAGGGGCUCUGGGACUUAAGGCAAGAUUUAGAUGACUUGAGGCACCCACUUCCAAAGAUGUCAUCCAGAAAAACUCCACCCAGAAGCCACAUAACCUUGCAAAUGCCAGCAUCCACAGGGCUCCAGUGGAGCGCGGACGCAGGCCUGAAGCCCCACACAGAGCUACGCAGUGUGGGCAAGCCCAGCCACAGGCACAGAGAUGAGUCCCUGCCUACAGACUGUUAAUACUCCCAGAGACUAGGAAAUAUGAACCGGGAGGGUUUUGUCCACAGGCAUCUCUGGUCUGAACAAAGCUACAUCUCCACUGGCUUCUUCUCUCCUUUGACAGCAAAAGUCAUUUUCACCCCGCUGGGGCUUUUCUCACAUUUUAUGGGAGAAAGCAAAUGUCUGAUGUGGGGCUGCCUUAGGAAAGAUAGCUCAGCACCCCCUGGCCUGGAGUACUUCAGGACAUGGGUCCUCUGCAGAGUGGGCAAGUUGUUCGCAUCAGAGACAACAGAACCUCUGUUGAAUAACAAAGCCUCUGUUAGCUCAUCAGAGCACGUAAGACAGCAAACAGUACACCUGCAAGAGUAGGCAUUACACCCUGAAAGGAAUGCACUUUCUCUGGGCUGCUCUCCCAAGCAGUGAGACAGUAAGAAAAGGAGAAGGCUUUGUCUUAUACCUAUUUAAAUAAGAUCUGGAAGUAUUUGCCCAGAUUGUAUUGUAGAUAUGAUGACACGAGGAGGGAGAUGAAGGAAGAUACGACAACUGCUUGAAUUUUGUGCUGUAGGAAGCAUCAGAAAGUAUUUAAGAGAGUUGUGCAUGGGAAGGAUUCAGAAUCAUCUUUCAGAUUCACACUUGCUCAUCAGUCUGAGAUCUAAAAUGUUGGAAACAGUGGAAUGGAAAGGACUACAGGAGAUUGCAACCUCGGCAUUUUUCAGCUGAACCCUUCCCUCGAUCACAAGCAUGCAAGAUAGCAAAAUCCUCUUCAGGACUGAAUCUGUUGCUCAGGUACAAGUGCUUGGGCCAUAUUUACCUGCCUCCCAUCCUCUCACUGCUCCUCGAUCAGACCCAUUCUGCCAGAAGAGGUACUCCUGAAAAGAACCACAAGAGUGCAAGCAGAAUUCUCUACAAGCAUUUUGGUGAACUACAAAAAAAACUUGAUUUCAGGAUGCCAUGUGCCCACCACCUUCCUAUGCAAAAGUGUUGAAUUAAUGUUUAUGAUAAACAUAAGUAGAAUAAACAUCUUUCAGUUGCAGCUGAAACAGAGCUCAGCCAUGGUGAUUAAUGAAGCUGGGUGCACGUGAUACAACAGGACAGCUGCUGGCUUCCAGCUUUUUGGUCCUAUCUAACACAUGCACUCCAUCUCAGAGUAUUCAGGCCAUGCUUCUUUCAUGUUGUUAACAUUUUUUAACACAUUUUGUCAACUAAUCUAAACCAAGAGUUCUUCAGGAAAAAAAACAACAAGAACUUUCUAUACAUUUCUGUAACACGUAAACAUUCUGUACACGCUUUCUGCUACAUGUCAUCGAUAGCUUUUUUGACUUGAAAUUCUUGAAAUUGAAAUUGAAUUGAAUUGAAUUGAAUUGAAAAUGUUAUUCAUGUUCUAGGAGUGCCUACUUCACACAAUCUUCUCCACAUCUUGCUUGUCUUUACAUUGUACUUCAAGUUCUCUCAUCUCUUCAGGAGUUACUGGCACUAAAGUGAUCUUAUUUUUGUCAUGACAUGAAAAAUAUUGUGCUCCCCAUGGA
Meleagris gallopavo (turkey) is the source of this 2364-nucleotide non-coding RNA. The record is from RefSeq and is a predicted model, not a curated record. NCBI's taxonomy places the organism in Eukaryota, Metazoa, Chordata, Aves, Galliformes, Phasianidae.